CAUGGCUCAGGACGAACGCUGGCGGCGUGCUUAACACAUGCAAGUCGAACGCUGAAGCCCAGCUUGCUGGGUGGAUGAGUGGCGAACGGGUGAGUAACACGUGAGUAACCUGCCCCCUUCUUUGGGAUAACGCCCGGAAACGGGUGCUAAUACUGGAUAUUCACUGGCCUUCGCAUGGGGGUUGGUGGAAAGGUUUUUUCUGGUGGGGGAUGGGCUCGCGGCCUAUCAGCUUGUUGGUGGGGUGAUGGCCUACCAAGGCUUUGACGGGUAGCCGGCCUGAGAGGGUGACCGGUCACAUUGGGACUGAGAUACGGCCCAGACUCCUACGG
RNAcentral lists this ribosomal RNA (329 nucleotides) under uncultured bacterium. Its description in RNAcentral is "bacterial SSU rRNA". It matches the Rfam family "Bacterial small subunit ribosomal RNA", at positions 18 to 344 of the family's 1533-position model. The record is from RNAcentral.